GUGUGUGAAGAAGGCCUUCGGGUUGUAAAGCACUUUUGUCCGGAAAGAAAUCCUUGACCCUAAUACGGCGGGGGAUGACGGU
Molecule: ribosomal RNA, 82 nt
Filed under: Burkholderia cepacia
Lineage: Bacteria; Pseudomonadati; Pseudomonadota; Betaproteobacteria; Burkholderiales; Burkholderiaceae
Description: partial 16S ribosomal RNA
Source: RNAcentral